GAGUAAUGAAGCAAGGACCCUCAUGACACAUCUAUGUAGUACAAGAAGUUUGAGCAAACUCAUGAUUCUUGAUGUUCCCCUGAGCAAUAGGAGGAAGGGGCAAAUUUCUCCUUGGAACAUGGCUUGAGAGUUACUCCUCGAUGCUGCUACGGCUGAGAGCUAUACCAGCUGUAGUUUCUCUGCACAUCCCAUUGAUGUUGGUUGGCCAUCCCUGAAUGAAAAGCGAAUGUGCAGGAAA
Long non-coding RNA from Neopsephotus bourkii (Bourke's parrot), 238 nucleotides. RefSeq lists it as uncharacterized. The record is from RefSeq and is a predicted model, not a curated record. Lineage: Eukaryota; Metazoa; Chordata; Aves; Psittaciformes; Psittacidae. The transcript has 2 exons.